This is an RNA transcript of Pipra filicauda (Wire-tailed manakin), 8401 nucleotides long. It is a transcript of the gene named cytoplasmic linker associated protein 2, with no coding region annotated. Lineage: Eukaryota; Metazoa; Chordata; Aves; Passeriformes; Pipridae. The transcript has 44 exons. The record is from RefSeq and is a predicted model, not a curated record.
GCGCCGCCGCGGCAGAGCCCGGUGGGGGGAGGCGCGGCGGAGCGUGAGCGGCUCCGAGGGGGACUCGCCCGGUCCGGCCCGCAGUGGAGGGGAGCGAGAGGCGCUGAGACCCGCCGCGGCGAAAGUUUGGGAGGCGCCUCGCGGGCGGGCAGGAGGGGCCGGAGGCCGCGGCGCCAGGAGCAUGAGAGGUCCGCGCCGGCCUCGCCGGUGCCCGUGAGCGGCGGCCCAGGAAUCGCUCCUCCCGCGGGAACCCCCUGAGCUCGCGGCCGGGGUGCCUGCGAGCCCCUCCAGCCGCAGCGCCUGUUCCCGGGCUCGAUUUCCCGUCCCCUGGCGGGGGAAGAGGAGGGGCGGCGGCGGGAGCCCUGCCGGGAUCCCUCGGGACGGCGCGGAGGCGGCUGGAAAGCCCCGCGCCCCAGUAGGCGGCUCCCGCCGAGCCCUCCGGCCGCCGCAGCCCCGCGCUCCCUGCCCGCCGGAGGGUUCGCCCUGCGGGGAGAGGAGGCGGCCGCCCGUGUGCGCAUGGGGGCGGCGGGCGCGGGGCCGGGGCGGAGAGCGACGGGAGAGGCUCCAUGAGGACGGCGGCCCUGUCUCUCCCCCCUCCGCCGCCCGCCCUGCCCUGGCCGCGCUCCCGACCCUGAGGCCGCUCGCUUCGUCUCCGAAAAACUUUUCCGCAGCGUCCGAAGAUGGAGCCCGCCGGUAUGGAUUAUUUCUGCGACCAGGUACAGCAGAAGGACGUGGGCCGCAGGAUGCAGGUCGGCCAGGAGCUGCUGGAGUACCUGAGCGACCCGGCGAGGUCCCCCGAUCUGGAGCAGGACCAGCAGCGCCUUGAUAAAGUGAUCGACGAGUUAACAGCGUGGGUCAACUCCAGUAAUUUUAAGGUAGCACUACUGGGAUUAGAUGUUUUAGGUGCCUUUGUCGACAGACUAUCAGGACGCUUUAAAGCCUAUAUAGGAACUGUUCUCAUGCCUUUGAUAGAUCGUAUGGGAGAUGCCAAAGACCAAGUUCGAGAGCAAGCACAGAAUCUUAUAUUGAAAUUGAUGGAUGAAGCAGCACCACCCAUGUACAUUUGGGAACGCCUUGCUGUUGGUUUUAAACACAAGAAUUACCGAUCCCGAGAAGGAGUGUGUUUGUGUCUUGUUGCUACCUUAAACAUUUAUGGUGCGCAACCAUUAAUCCUCAGCAAGUUGGUGCCACAUCUGUGUAUAGCGUUUGGUGACUCCAAUAGUCAGGUGAGAGAUGCUGCCAUACUAGCCAUUGUAGAGGUUUAUAGACAUGUGGGAGAAAAAGUACGAAUAGAUCUUGCGAAGAGAGGAAUUCCUCCUGGAAGGUUGCAAACAAUCUUUACAAAAUUUGAUGAAGUAAGAAACUCUGGAAAUAUGAUUUUAAGCAGCGUCAGUGACAAAAGCUUUGAUGAUGAAGAGUCAGUGGAUGGAAAUAGGCCAUCAUCAGCUGCUUCAGCCUUCAAGGUUCCAGCACCUAAAAAGCCAGGAAAUCCUCCAAACAGUGCAAGAAAGCCAGGAUCAGCUGGUGGGCCUAAGGUUGGAGGUUCCUCUAAAGAAGGAGGAGCUGGAGCUGUGGAUGAGGAUGAUUUUAUUAAGGCAUUUACAGAUGUUCCUGCUGUACAGAUCUAUUCUAGUCGAGAACUUGAAGAAACGUUGAACAAAAUCAGGGAAAUUCUCUCAGAUGACAAACAUGAUUGGGAUCAACGAACUAAUGCGCUGAAGAAAGUUCGAUCAUUGCUUGUUGCUGGAGCUGCACAGUAUGAUGGGUUUUUCCAGCAUUUACGGUUGUUGGAUGGUGCUUUCAAGCUGUCGGCCAAGGAUCUCAGAUCCCAGGUGGUUAGGGAAGCGUGCAUUACUGUAGCCCACCUGUCAACUGUUCUGGGAAACAAGUUUGAUCAUGGCGCUGAAGCUAUUGUGCCUACUCUUUUUAAUCUGGUUCCCAACAGCGCCAAAGUGAUGGCAACUUCUGGGUGCGCAGCCAUCAGAUUCAUUAUUCGGCAUACUCAUGUGCCACGACUCAUACCUUUAAUAACAAGCAACUGUACCUCAAAAUCAGUUGCAGUUAGAAGGCGCUCCUUUGAAUUUUUAGACCUGUUGUUACAAGAGUGGCAAACACAUUCAUUGGAAAGGCAUGCAGCUGUCUUGGUUGAAACAAUCAAGAAGGGCAUUCAUGAUGCUGAUGCAGAAGCAAGAGUGGAGGCAAGAAAGGCUUAUAUUGGUCUUAGAAAUCACUUUCCUAGUGAAGCUGAGACUCUGUACAAUUCUCUGGAGCCACCCUAUCAAAGAAGCCUUCAGACGUACUUGAAGAAUUCUGGCAGUAUAGCAUCUCUCCCUCAGUCAGACAGGUCAUCCUCCAGCUCACAGGAGAGCCUCAAUCGACCUCUAUCUUCUAAAUGGUCUGCAGCCAGUCCAGCAAGUUUUGCAGGCAGAGUUUCAGGCAGCAGCAAGGGUGUUCCAAGCCCUGGAACCCUGCAGAGGUCUCGCAGUGACAUCGAUGUCAACGCUGCCGCAGGCGCGAAGGCCCGGCACGCUGCUGGACAGACAGCUGGAGCCGGGCGCUUGUCAGCUGCUGGUCUACCUCCAGGAUCCUACGCUUCGCUAGAGGAUACUUCUGACAAGAUGGAUGGAACAGCUUCUGAAGAUGGUCGUGUACGAACAAAGCUUUCAACCCCUUCUGUUGGUAUUGGAAAUUCUAAAACAGAUUCCAGAGGACGGAGUAGAACCAAAGUGGUGUCACAAUCUCAGCGUUCAUCAUCGCCAGACCAAAAUGAAGGAUCACAGUCUGCUAACCCCAUUGGUGCUGGCAGUAGAUCUGGGUCUCCUGGAAGAGUUUUGACAACAACCACACUUUCCACUAUGAACACAGGAGUUCAGAGAGUGUUGGUGAAUCCUGCAGCUGCACAAAAGCGAAGCAAAAUCCCACGAAGUCAGGGAUGCAGUAGGGAAGCUAGUCCUUCUAGGUUGUCAGUAGCGCGAGGCAGCCGCAUUCCUCGGCCUAGUGUGAGUCAGGGGUGCAGUCGGGAGGCCAGCCGUGAAAGUAGCAGGGACACAAGCCCUGUCCGCUCUUUCCCACCCCUUGCUUCCAGACAUCACUCCAGAUCUACUGGUGCCCUCUACGCUCCUGAUGCUUAUGGGGCCACAGGUACUGGCUUCGGAAUUAGUCAGUCGAGUAGAUUGUCGUCAUCAGUUAGUGCUAUGCGAGUUCUGAACACAGGUUCUGACGUGGAAGAGGCAGUAGCAGAUGCUUUGCUCUUAGGAGACAUACGGACUAAGAAGAAGCCUGUGCGAAGAAGAUAUGAGUCCUAUGGGAUGUACUCAGAUGAUGAUGCCAACAGUGAUGCUUCAAGUGCCUGUUCAGAAAGGUCCUAUAGCUCUAGGAAUGGAAGCAUACCAACAUACAUGAGACAGACAGAAGACGUGGCUGAAGUCCUGAAUCGCUGUGCCAGCACCAACUGGUCAGAGAGAAAAGAAGGCCUUCUGGGCCUGCAAAACUUACUAAAGAACCAGAGAACUUUAAGUCGUGUUGAGUUGAAAAGGUUGUGUGAAAUCUUCACAAGAAUGUUUGCUGAUCCUCACAGUAAGAGAGUGUUCAGUAUGUUUUUGGAGACACUGGUCGACUUCAUCCAGGUCCAUAAAGAAGAUCUGCAGGACUGGCUGUUUGUACUGCUGACACAGCUGUUGAAAAAAAUGGGCGCUGAUUUGCUUGGAUCUGUACAAGCAAAAGUUCAGAAGGCGCUUGAUGUCACAAGGGAAUCUUUUCCAAAUGACCUCCAAUUCAGUAUUUUAAUGAGAUUUACUGUUGACCAGACCCAAACACCUAGCCUGAAGGUCAAAGUUGCAAUCCUAAAAUACAUAGAAACUCUUGCACAACAGAUGGAUCCAGGAGAUUUUGUUAACUCAAGUGAAACAAGGUUAGCAGUGUCUCGAAUCAUCACCUGGACCACUGAACCUAAAAGCUCAGAUGUUAGGAAGGCUGCACAGUCAGUGCUGAUUUCCCUUUUUGAACUCAACACUCCAGAGUUUACAAUGCUAUUGGGUGCUUUACCAAAAACAUUUCAGGAUGGAGCUACAAAGCUUCUCCAUAAUCAUCUCCGGAAUACAGGCAAUAGUGGUCAGGGAUCGAUGGGAAGUCCUUUAACAAGACCUACUCCACGCUCCCCAGCAAGUUGGUCAAGUCCUCUCACUUCCCCAACCAAUACAUCGCAGAACACUUUGUCACCAAGUGCAUUUGACUAUGACACUGAAAAUAUGAAUUCUGAAGAUAUUUACAGCUCUCUUCGUGGAGUCACUGAAGCCAUUCAGAAUUUCAGUUUUCGUAGUCAGGAAGAUAUGAAUGAGCCUGUAAAACGAGAUGCUAAAAAAGAUGAUGGUGACUCGAUUUGCAGUGCUUCUGGAAUAGUAGACAUACGAGCAGGAAGCGGUGUGAGCGAUACAGGUCGAACAGCCCUUGAUAACAAAACGUCAUUACUCAACACAAUGCCUCCCCACUCCUCACCACGCUCACGAGAUUACAACCCGUACAAUUACUCUGAUGGUAUUGGUCCAUUUAAUAAAUCUGCUUUGAAGGAAGCCAUGUUUGAUGAUGAUGCAGAGCAGUUUCCUGAUGAGCCUUCCAUGGACCAUUCCGAUCUGGUUGCCGAGUUACUGAAAGAGUUAUCAAACCAUAAUGAGAGAGUUGAGGAAAGAAAGGCUGCCCUGUACGAGCUCAUGAAGUUAACUCCAGAAGAGUCCUUUAGUGUUUGGGAUGAGCACUUCAAAACAAUACUACUUUUGCUGCUUGAAACUCUUGGAGAUAAAGAGCAUGCAAUUAGAGCUUUGGCUCUGAAAGUUCUAAGAGAAAUUCUAAGAAACCAGCCAGCAAGGUUUAAGAAUUACGCAGAGCUCACGAUCAUGAAGACAUUAGAAGCACAUAAGGAUCCUCAUAAGGAGGUGGUGAGAUCUGCUGAAGAAGCUGCUUCCAUGCUGGCCACUUCCAUUAGCCCAGAUCAGUGCAUCAAAGUUCUCUGUCCAAUUAUCCAAACUGCAGAUUACCCCAUUAAUCUGGCUGCAAUCAAAAUGCAGACAAAAGUUAUAGAAAGAGUAUCUAAAGAAACCCUUACUCAGCUUCUACCAGAGAUUGUGCCAGGUCUAAUACAGGGUUAUGAUAAUUCAGAGAGCAGCGUUCGUAAGGCAUGUGUUUUCUGCCUUGUAGCCAUUCAUGCAGUAAUUGGUGAUGAACUAAAACCACAUCUCAGUCAACUCACUGGCAGUAAAAUGAAAUUAUUGAACCUUUACAUCAAACGUGCACAAACAGGCUCUGGAGCAGGAGAUACAGCAGCAGAUAUGUCUGGACAAAGCUAAUGAAGCUGACAAGAGUUACCCAGGUCUCCUAAAGCAAGGGCAAGGCCCUCUUCAGUGAAAGGAAAAUCCUUACAUACAACUUCUGGAACUUUUUUCUUGUGUUUAUUUCCCCCCCCCCCUUUUUUUAUUUUGGUUUUUGUUUUUUUUUUCUUUUCUUUUCUUUAACCAACGGCUGUCCUCAGCCUGCAUGUGACUGUUGCAAUAGAAUUAUUCCAAAUCCAAGGAAAAACAGUAUUAACAUCAGUUGAUCAAAGCAGAAUAAAAUUUUAAAAUAAUCUUAUCCAUCAGUUACCCUGUUCAUAAUCCUCUGUGUCUUCCCAUUAACUUUUGCCAGUGUUACUGUAUUAAAAAAAGAUUUUUUUAAUGCUAAUUAAAAAGGUAUGCUUUAAGCUUCAGAAGUUAAAAUAUAAAUUCUGUUGCUUUACUCAGCUGCAGAUAACAUUACUUUUUUAUUGCUGUUUUGUUUGAGUAUCAUGUCCUUCGCUAGAAACAAGAAGUGAUGUGAAACAAGGCUGAACUAGUCUGAACUGCAGUGAGACUCGUUCACUGUGUUGGUGGUUCAUCAUCUUAUUUACAGCUUGUUUGGGAUAUUCUGGAGAUUGAGAAAUAUGCCUAUAAAAAGAAAGCUGGAUUGAUCCAGUUCUGUAAAAGUGAUAUUGUUCAUUGGUUGUAUGUUUGUUGCAUAAAUAAGAAUUUAGUGUGCGCAGCAGAGGACUGGUACAACCAGUACCUCUUAAUGUGGAAGACAGCCCUCCCAGGGCAGCAUUGCCGACCUGGUGAUAGCGUGGCAGUCUGCUACCGAGCAGCAGAGUUAAUGGUCACUUGAUGGACGUGAACCAUCCUUGUCACCUUUCGUUCUUCAAGCAGGAUGCUUCAGAAUGGAGUGCUCUGCCCAAGCAUGCUCACAAGCUGAUUUAACUGAGAAAUGGGAUGAAACAGUGCCCUUCCCAGGAAUGGUGGACCUUUUUUUUUCCUGACUUUCUUCCCUUUGAUUGUGAUGUUGUCUAGUUGUAGGAAGUGUAUCCUGAUAAGAGAGAAAAUUGUGGUGCCAAGGAUGAUGAUCUAUGCUAGGCUAAAAUUCUCUCUACCUCUUCAGGGUGACUAAUUUUUGACUGAGCUGCUGCAUAUAGCACCCAGUAGAAAAACUAUCUACAGAAAAAAAAUCUUCUUUAUUUUUGUUUUCCAAAUUAUCACUUAAUGUGUAUUCCGAACUCUGCUCUUCAACAUUGCAGCCAAAUAUCAUAAGAAACUACUUACACACUUUACUUGCUAGGAACCCUGAAAAACAAAACUGAAUAAAAAAAUUAAGUCAGAUGCUUGUAGUUACAUGAAAGGUUGUUUUUACUUUAGUUUGAAGUGAAUGCAAUAGAAAGAGCUAAGAUGUGGUUAUUAAAGAAGCAAUGCCAUUGCAGAGAUUUAUUUGGAGGAAAAGUUGUAGAAAUAUAUGUAAAGACUUAAAACCAAGACUGUCAUAACACAUUGCUAGCCCUUUUUAGCAGCUACAUCAAGAAAAUAGUAUCUCCUCUUUCUUUCCUUUGUUACGUGUAACAUCCUUGUUGUUUUCUACUGUUUAAUUACAUUGUGUAUUUAUAGUUCUAUGCUUACCAUUGUGCAUAUACUGGCAAUAAAAUGUACAUAACAUUACUUAAAAGAUUAGCAAUGUAUACAUUCUGGUUUUCUGCUUUAUUUGAUCACAUGCUAUAAGAAAAAUUAUAAAUGUGAUUGAUACAACAUUGGUUUUAAAAAAAAUUAUCUUAAUCUUCAUGUUUUGUGUGUCCAAAUGAUGUUUCUUUAUAUACUCUUGUUACUAAAUCUGACUUGGCAUUUGAGAACAUGCUGUGAAUAUAGGUGUGCUAGACAAAUUUUUUAAAAAUUGAAUAGAGUCUUUAUGAACACAGUUUCCUUCCUCUAGGCAGGUUUCUUGUUUAUUAUUUCAUUUAUUUGCACAUUAUACAUCAUUCGCAUUUUAUUUUUUUAAUAUUUAAAAAAAUAUUUUUCAGUCUACAAUCCUGUAGUUGUUUCAUUUUGAUUAUACAAAAGGUCACUUAAAAAAAUUGCACAAAUUCUAAGCUUAGUAGUCCUUCCUGUAUGUUAUUCCUGCAUUUUCUGUAGGUAAUAUUUCUUUUCAGAGGAUCAUUGCAAGAUGACUUUAUUUGUCAUCUUUUUGAAGAUGCUAUUUCAUACUGAAAAUAUAAGUUAUUGAAACAUACAGUAUAUAUUCUGGAUGGAACCUAGUUUUUUUAUGUGUAAACAAAAGUUGGUAAGAAAGAAAUGGUCCUGUAUGACUGAAAAAUUUUGCUCCAGGUGGGGGGGAGAAAGAUAUUUACAUAAAAGUUUUUUCAUUAGUUUUGCUUUUAAGCCAUCUUUAAAUGGAGAUAUCCCAUGUAUUAAAAAUCUGAAUGCAAUAUAUUUAAAUUAAUAUUUUACUCAUGAUAUGACUAGUUCUGUUUCUAACAAAGAUGGGGUUGCUAUCUUUGUAAACAGGGUAGAAUCUGUUUAUAUUACAUGAAGCCAUCAGAAUGUAAGAAUUUGGAAAGAAAAUUAUUUCCACGGCAGCCAGUUAUCAGAUUCACUGCAUUGCUUUUGUCUUCAUUUCCUAUAUUAUAAAUAGACAUUGGCUCAGUUAAAUUGAAGCAGUGAUUAGUCAUGCCUUAUGUUCCUGCUGGAGGUGGUUUCUCUAAUGGAUUAGCAUAAAGAUCUGGGAAAAACUAGGACAGAUAUAAGUUGCUGUUCUUUCAGAAAGGGGUUCUGUAUGUUCUCUCUAAUAUCCUGUCAGGAUAGGUCAUUGCAGUCAUUUGGAUACCGAAAUGUAAAUCUUAAAGGUUGAGUUUGAGCUUAAAAAAAGAAGAAGGAAAGCUACAUGCAGAAUCAGGAUAAGAAAUGCAUAUCUUGGAUGUCUCAGACUUUGAUGUCAUUUGCUUUAAAGAAUUUUGAGUAACACAUUAUGUUCAGCUGAAGCAAGGAAGUUGGGAUAAUAAAUGUAAAUUGAAAGGAGAGCUGAUGAUGUAAAUUUUCCUGAGUUGGCUUGCUUGUUUGUUUUUGAAGAUAAAGGUUGGAACAGA